RNAcentral lists this transfer RNA (73 nucleotides) under Actinia tenebrosa (Australian red waratah sea anemone). Its description in RNAcentral is "tRNA-Trp". It matches the Rfam family "tRNA". Rfam says of the family: Transfer RNA (tRNA) molecules are approximately 80 nucleotides in length. Lineage: Eukaryota; Metazoa; Cnidaria; Anthozoa; Actiniaria; Actiniidae. The record is from Rfam by way of RNAcentral.
GAUCUUGUGGUGUAAUGGUUAUCACGUCUGACUCCAGAUCAGAAGUUCAUGGGCUCGAUUCCCAUUAAGGUCA